AACGAACGCUGGCGGCGCGCCUAAUACAUGCAAGUCGAGCGAGAAGACGUAGCAAUACGUUUGUAAAGCGGCGAACGGGUGAGGAAUACAUGGGUAACCUACCCUCGAGUGGGGAAUAACUAGCCGAAAGGUUAGCUAAUACUGCGUACGCUCCUUGGACUUCGGUUCAGGGAGGAAAGCGAUACCGUGGGUAUCGCGCUCUUGGAUGGGCUCAUGUCCUAUCAGCUUGUUGGGAGGUAACGGCUCACCAAGGCUUCGACGGGUAGCUGGUCUGAGAGGACGAUCAGCCACACUGGCACUGCGACACGGGCCAGACUCCUACGGGAGGCAGCAGUAAGGAAUAUUGCGCAAUGGGGCGAAAGCCUGACGCAGCGACGCCGCGUGGGGGA
RNAcentral lists this ribosomal RNA (389 nucleotides) under uncultured bacterium. Its description in RNAcentral is "bacterial SSU rRNA". It matches the Rfam family "Bacterial small subunit ribosomal RNA", at positions 29 to 408 of the family's 1533-position model. The record is from RNAcentral.